ACAACGGCUCUUUUAAGAGCCACCAACAGAACCCUUUUGAGCUUG
Molecule: non-coding RNA, 45 nt
Organism: Oryzias latipes (Japanese medaka)
Lineage: Eukaryota; Metazoa; Chordata; Actinopteri; Beloniformes; Adrianichthyidae
Source: Rfam